GUGUUUAACGGCCGCGGUAUUUUAACCGCGCGAAGGUAGCGUAAUCACUUGUCUUUUAAAUGGAGACCUGUAUGAAUGGCAUAACGAGGGUUUGACUGUCUCCUCCACCCAGUCAAUGAAAUUGAUCUGCCCGUGCAGAAGCGGGCAUAAGCACAUAAGACGAGAAGACCCUAUGGAGCUUUAGGCAAAUGACCAGGCAAAACAAGUCACGGCCCUUAAUAAGCCUAGAAAAACAAAAGCUAAUGAUCAAAAUGCCUUCGGUUGGGGCGACCAUGGAGGAAACAAAAUCCUCCAAGCGGAAAGGGACAACCCUUGAACCAAGAGAGACACCUCGAAGUAACAGAAUUUAUGACCAACUAUGACCCAGGAUUUAACCUGAUCAACGGACCUAGUUACCCUAGGGAUAACAGCGCAAUCCUCUCCCAGAGUCCCUAUCGACGAGGGGGUUUACGACCUCGAUGUUGGAUCAGGACAUCCUAAUGGUGCAGCCGCUAUUAAGGGUUCGUUUGUUCAACGAUUAAUAG
RNAcentral lists this ribosomal RNA (524 nucleotides) under Gymnothorax buroensis. Its description in RNAcentral is "partial 16S rRNA". It matches the Rfam family "Bacterial large subunit ribosomal RNA", at positions 1920 to 2593 of the family's 2925-position model. Lineage: Eukaryota; Metazoa; Chordata; Actinopteri; Anguilliformes; Muraenidae. The record is from RNAcentral.